This 547-nucleotide ribosomal RNA is filed under the name Tolypocladium sp. Its description in RNAcentral is "LSU rRNA". It matches the Rfam family "Eukaryotic large subunit ribosomal RNA", at positions 76 to 647 of the family's 3401-position model. Lineage: Eukaryota; Fungi; Ascomycota; Sordariomycetes; Hypocreales; Ophiocordycipitaceae. The record is from RNAcentral.
UGCCCCAGUAACGGCGAGUGAAGCGGCAACAGCUCAAAUUUGAAAUCUGGCCCCCAGGGCCCGAGUUGUAAUUUGCAGAGGAUGCUUUUGGCGCGGUGCCUUCCGAGUUCCCUGGAACGGGACGCCAUAGAGGGUGAGAGCCCCGUCUGGUCGGACACCAAGCCAGUGUAAAGCUCCUUCGACGAGUCGAGUAGUUUGGGAAUGCUGCUCUAAAUGGGAGGUAUAUGUCUUCUAAAGCUAAAUACCGGCCAGAGACCGAUAGCGCACAAGUAGAGUGAUCGAAAGAUGAAAAGCACUUUGAAAAGAGGGUUAAACAGUACGUGAAAUUGUUGAAAGGGAAGCGUUUAUGACCAGACUUGGGCCCGGUGAAUCAUCCAGCGUUCUCGCUGGUGCACUUCGCCGGGCCCAGGCCAGCAUCAGUUCGCCGCGGGGGACAAAAGCUUCGGGAACGUGGCUCCCUCGGGAGUGUUAUAGCCCGUUGCAUAAUACCCUGCGGCGGACUGAGGUUCGCGCUCCGCAAGGAUGCUGGCGUAAUGGUCAUCAGCGA